RNAcentral lists this long non-coding RNA (2841 nucleotides) under Salvia miltiorrhiza (redroot sage). Its description in RNAcentral is "long non-coding RNA (SMIL_LNC007015)". Lineage: Eukaryota; Viridiplantae; Streptophyta; Magnoliopsida; Lamiales; Lamiaceae. The record is from RNAcentral.
GCGGCUUGAAUUUGAACAGUAGUAAAACUAGAGGGAUAAUAAUAAAAUUAGUGGUGGAACAUACAAAAUCAGUAAAUGUGAAUUAUUAUUCACAAAAAAAUAAAAUUAAAAAUUGUACAGAUAACAAAGCAUCAAUCCACAAACAACAUAAACAGCAAUAUCUUCCUCAGUCAAUUCCUCGUAUACCACACGCUCCCUCUCCAAAAAUCAAAUAAGUAGUAAUCUCAUACUAAAAUUAUAGAAAAAAAAUUACAUAAUUUGACAUAAUUAAUAAUUAGCAUCACCGGAGAAAUGGCUUUUCCUCAUCCUCAGUUCCGGCAACGAGUGAUAGCGUUGCAGCCGCGCCGGUAGGGAUUGGCCUGCGCGCCGGGGCGGCAAUUAUAGUACGACGCGCCGCGCCGCGAGCAGGGGACGUUGUUCCUCUGCAGCGCUCCGUAGCUGAUGUAGCGGCUCGUCGCUAGGAUGCGCCUGUUGGACUCCGAAUCAAGCUCGAACUCGUCGUCUCCGCCGGCCAGGCACUCGGCGAUGGUCCCCCUGCAGCUGGAUCUCACUACCGGCAUCAUCCAUCCCGCGGCGGAGGGAUCGUGGUCCCCACCUGCCGACGCUUGCAGGAUUAGAAUUGAUGCGAUUAAGCAUAGUGCUAGUAGCAAUUUGUAGGCGGCUGCCAUUUCGAAGCGAUAGCGGUCGAUUCUGAGCACUGAUUUCCGCGGAAUUGUUCUGGAGUAUCGGCAAAGGGGUUUCUCUCUCUUACUUGUUUUGCGGGUGAGGAUGAGAGAGAGAGAGAGGAACGAACAGAGAAAGAAAGUAAAUGCAGAUCGUUGAAUUUUUAUAAUGAAAUAAGAAAAGAGGGCUAAAAUAAUUGAGGAGAAUUCCCCUUUUCUGUAUAUUAUUGUUUUCUUUUUUUGCUCAAGACUCCUUGCUAAGUAAUUACUCCCCCGUCUCACUUUAAUUAGAAUAGACUCGUUUUCAUUUUUGAGUAAAAGGGAAUAUACUUAAUUAGUUUAGUAUAAACUAAAUUAAUUUUCUCAUAAAAAAUAAAUUUCUUAAUAUUCGUGCUCAAAAGAAAUGAGCCAUGAGAAUGAGACUGAAUGAGUACAUAUUAUAUCGUAAAUUGUACUAUAAGGGUGUGUUUGAUUUUUAUUCUUCUAAAUGGAUGGAUAAUAAAAAUUUAUGUUUUUAAAUGUCUCAUUUUGUAUCCCACAUUUUACACAUUUUUUGUGUGAUAAUAUUAUCAUUCCUUGAAGUUACAUAAAGAAGGAAAAAUGGUGAACUUCUCUUUUGUGUAAAAAGUGGAAUAAGAAAUGAGACAUUUAAAGACAUAAAUUUUGUUAUCCCUCUUUUCUCAUCCAUUUUUUUGGUGUGAUAAUAUUAUCCCUCCUUGAAGUGAAAAUAAGGAAGAAAUUGUCACUUCUCUUUUGUGUAAAAUUGGGAUGAGAAAUGAGACAUUUAAAGAUAUAAAUUUUGUUAUCUCUCUUUUCCCAUUCAUCAAAGUGAACACACCCUUAUAUUAUAUGGAAUAUUGGUAUUGUAUUGUAUGUGUAUUUAAUUUAAUAACCAACAUUUAAUAUGUAGAAAAUAAUGGAGCUUUGUAAUAUUACCCUCUCUUUCUUAUUUAAAAACAAUUUUGUAUGGAAUUUUUAGGGGUUCUAGAACAUCCAUUACGAAGUAAUUUUCGUUUUAUAGAUGUUAAUGUGCUGUAUUAAUAUUGAUAUAGAUAUAAAUACUGACAUAUUAAUAAUAAAAUGAAACAUUAAAUACAAGAAAAGAUAUUUAUGAAUUAUGAAUGGAGAUGGAGAGAGCGUUUGUUUUUUAAAAAUUAGGAAAAGUGAAAGUGACCGUUGAGGGGUCAGCCAGCCAGUCGGCCUUAAGUCUUGUGAGCUCCACCUCGCUUCCAUAUUAAAUUGUUUACUUAAUUCUUCACAGAUAUGUUUAUUUUAGUUCUUUUCAAAAUCUCAGAUAAGGAAAUAAGAAUAAAAUCAUCUUAUAAAUAUUUAUAAUCUAUAAUAUUUAAAAAGAUAACUUUCAAAAUCAAUUUUAAAUUAAUUUGAAUGGAAAUUUUAUAAUUUCUUUAAAAAUAAUGAUUUGUUAUAUAUAUAUACAAAGAUUGUAUCAAAUUAACUUAAUUAAAAUUGUAUGUAAUUAGUAACAUAAUUGUCCUAUUGUUGUGCAAAGUGAAAAACUGUUCUUUUCCUUGUUUCUGUUUUUUUCUUUCUCAAAAUCAUGCUAUGUCGUUUAGAAAUUAUAUCUAAUAUGCAUCUUGAAAUGAAGAUUGCAAUAAAAGCAUUUAUUGUACUGAUAUGUGGAAAAAAAAAUAGUUAAAAUGAACAAUUUAUAAACAUUAAAAUUUUAGAACUUAUAUAUACUAUAUAUACGAUUAUAUAUACGAUUUAUACUAUGUAUUUGUCCUUAAUCUUAUUGUUUUCAAUUUCCUCAUUUAUUUUUAAUUAUGUACUAUUUUUUUAAUUUUUAAAAUAAUGAAUUUCUAUUUAUUUUAAUUAAAUUCUAUGUAUUUUAUUUUUUUAACUGUNAUGCGCCUGUUGGACUCCGAAUCAAGCUCGAACUCGUCGUACUCCGCCGGCCAGGCACUCGGCGAUGGUCCCCCUGCAGCCGGAUCUCACUGCCGGCAUCAUCCAUCCCGCGGCGGAGGGAUCGUGGUCCCCACCUGCCGACGCUUGCAGGAUUAGAAUUGAUGCGAUUAAGCAUAGUGCUAGUAGCAAUUUGUAGGCGGCUGCCAUUUCGAAGCGAUAGCGGUCGAUUCUGAGCACUGAUUUCCGCGGAAUUGUUCUGGAGUAUCGGCAAAGGGGGUUUCUCUCUCUUACUUGUUUUGUGGGUGAGGAUGAG